AUACGUAGGUGGCAAGCGUUGUCCGGAAUUACUGGGCGUAAAGCGUGCGCAGGCGGUUUUGUAAGACAGUGGUGAAAUCCCCGGGCUCAACCUGGGAACUGCCAUUGUGACUGCAAGGCUGGAGUGCGGCAGAGGGGGGUGGAAUUCCGCGUGUAGCAGUGAAAUGCGUAGAUAUGCGGAGGAACACCGAUGGCGAAGGCAAUCCCCUGGGCCUGCACUGACGCUCAUGCACGAAAGCGUGGGGAGCAAACAGGAUUAGAUACCCUGGUAGUCCACGCCCUAAACGAUGUCAACUGGUUGUUGGGGAUUUAUUUUCUCAGUAACGAAGCUAACGCGUGAAGUUGACCGCCUGGGGAGUACGGCCGCAAGGUUAAAACUCAAAGGAAUUGACGGGG
Molecule: ribosomal RNA, 395 nt
Filed under: uncultured bacterium
Lineage: Bacteria
Description: partial 16S ribosomal RNA
Rfam family: Bacterial small subunit ribosomal RNA
Source: RNAcentral